Molecule: ribosomal RNA, 457 nt
Filed under: uncultured Curvibacter sp.
Lineage: Bacteria; Pseudomonadati; Pseudomonadota; Betaproteobacteria; Burkholderiales; Comamonadaceae
Description: bacterial SSU rRNA
Rfam family: Bacterial small subunit ribosomal RNA
Source: RNAcentral
CGGGGGGCAGCAGUGGGGAAUUUUGGACAAUGGGCGCAAGCCUGAUCCAGCCAUGCCGCGUGCAGGAUGAAGGCCUUCGGGUUGUAAACUGCUUUUGUACGGAACGAAAAGGUUUGGCCUAAUAAGCUGAGCUCAUGACGGUACCGUAAGAAUAAGCACCGGCUAACUACGUGCCAGCAGCCGCGGUAAUACGUAGGGUGCGAGCGUUAAUCGGAAUUACUGGGCGUAAAGCGUGCGCAGGCGGUUAUGUAAGACAGAUGUGAAAUCCCCGGGCUCAACCUGGGAACUGCAUUAGUGACUGCAUAGCUGGAGUACGGCAGAGGGGGAUGGAAUUCCGCGUGUAGCAGUGAAAUGCGUAGAUAUGCGGAGGAACACCGAUGGCGAAGGCAAUCCCCUGGGCCUGUACUGACGCUCAUGCACGAAAGCGUGGGGAGCAAACAGGAUUAGAUACCCGAGU